GGACGCCCGCCCACCCAGCCCUGCCUGGGCGUCACGGAAACCCUGGAUGACGACAGGUGCCUCCUGGCUCCUGGGAUUGCGGUGGGUGGCAAAGAGUCACCCUGAGUCAGCCGGACCGAGUAGGCGCAGGGGGUGUUGCUGGGGUCCGGCAGGGUGUCCCACUGUUGGGACUGUCCCAGAGGAGCUGCGACGCCGACUGCAGAGGUCUAGAUGCCCAGAUGCCCAGGAGCUGCCUCCCAAGAAGAGAGAUCACCUGUGCACCCCCUCCAAGGGAAUGGAAAGCUGCUUCUGGAAGCAGAGGCUCUUCUGGGUACUGGAAACUUCAGCUAUGAAAGACUGCCGUCAAGGAGCCGGCACCCUGGCAGGGACAUGCUGAACAGACAACUCACACCUGGAACGUGUGUACAUCUGUGGCCCGUCUCUCCCGCCGUAAUGAACGCUCUAGAAGGACAUUGCCUAUCUUGUCCAUGGCUCUAGCUCCAGCACAUAGGACAGUGGUGGCCAGCACACCCGAGGUGCUCAGUGAACACGUGUUGAAUGCGUCCCCCCCUCCAGUGAAGCCCUAACUCCCCAUCCCUGUUAAUGCGACCUUAUUUGGAAAUGAUCAAUCAAGUUGAGGUGAUCGGGGUGGGCUCUGAUCCAAUAUGACCGUGCCCUUACAAAAAAGGGGAGACUGAAGACAGACAUAUAUAGAGGGAAAGGUGAUGUGAAGACACAGAAAGAGUGCCAUCUACGAACCAUGGAACCCCUGAGACCGCCAGAAACUCGGAGAGAGGCCUGGAACAGACAUCUUGAUCUUGAACUCCUAGUCUCGAGAAUUUUGAGCCGAUAUAUCUGUGUCGUUGGUGGCCUUUGUUAGGGCAGCCCCGGGAAAGGAAGACACCCAGCUUAUUCCUUCUGUGGUCCCCUGUGGGCGUGUCCAGCUCCCCAUCCGUCCGUGCCCCACACUGUAGACUAUUGUCAACUGUCUUUCCAAUGCUGAGCGCCCUGAAGGCAAGAGAACUAUGUCUGAUUGGCUCUGCUCCCUAGCACCCAAGCUGUGUUUUUAUCCUACGUUGGAAAAUGUGUAGUGAGCCCCUCCCAAGUGUCAGGUAUAAGGCCAGGCCUGGGGACAACAAAAUGAAGCCACAGUUUGUGUCAAAUGCCAUGGGAAACUGGGAGGGAGAGAAAGACAGAGAGAGAGAGAGGGAGGGAGAGAGACUGCCUGGCAGAUGGCAGGAACUCCACGAAUGCCCCAGACUUCCGUAAAAAUCACCUCUGCUUUUAUUUCAUUUUACGGUUUUACAGUGCACAUUAAUUCAUUGUCUCUUUCAUGAAUCAAGCUCAAGUCAGCAUGGAUUUGUAGGGACAGGCGAUAUCAAGUGGUGGGGGGGGGGGGCGGUGGGUGAGUUCUAAAGCCAGGCUUCGAGGUCCGAUUCCUGGCUCCAUCACUUACUGCCGUGACCCUGGACAAGUUACUGAGCCUCACUGUGCCUCAAUUUCCUCAUCUGUAAAACGGAGCUCUUCUUUUAGUA
Molecule: long non-coding RNA, 1514 nt
Organism: Leopardus geoffroyi (Geoffroy's cat)
Lineage: Eukaryota; Metazoa; Chordata; Mammalia; Carnivora; Felidae
Exons: 4
Source: RefSeq, a predicted model, not a curated record